RNAcentral lists this long non-coding RNA (1638 nucleotides) under Homo sapiens (human). RNAcentral describes it as "HSALNT0301399". The record is from RNAcentral. Lineage: Eukaryota; Metazoa; Chordata; Mammalia; Primates; Hominidae.
UGAACUCCUGGCCUCAUGUUACCUCCCUGCCUCGGCCUCCCAAAGUGCUGGGAUUACAGGCGUAAGCCACCGUGCCCAGCCAAAAUGCACUUUUCUAGACCCCAUCUCACACUUCUAAUCAGAAGGUCUGGUCUUGAGCUAAGAUAUGAAUUUUAACUAGCUUUCUGGAGAAGUGUAAUGCACAAUAGUGUUUUGAAAACCACUGCUAGCUGGUAAGCUGUAUAACCAUAAGCAAGUUAGCGUUACUGAACUUCUCUACGUCUCAGUUUCUUUGUCCACAAAAUAAGGAUAAUAGUAGGUUCUAUCUUCCAGGGUUAUUGGUGGGAUCAGAUGAGUCAAGACAUAUAAAGCUCUUAGAACAGUGUCUAGCACCUAGUAAGCCCUCAAUGAUGGCUAUUAGUAUUUUCACCAUUAGCAUCAUCUUUUUUUUUUUUUUUUUAUGAAGUCUCGUUCUGUUGCCCAAGCUGGAGUGCAGUGGCGCCAUCUCAGCUCACUGCAAUCUCUGCCUUCCCGGUUCAGCGAUUCUCCUGCCUCAGCCUCCUAAGUAGCUGGAACUAGAGGCGCAUGCCACCAUGCCUGGCUAAUUUUUGUAUUUUUAGUAGAGACGGGGAUUCAUCAUGUUGGCCAGGCUGGUCUCGAACUCCUGGCCUCAGGUGAUUCCCCUGCCUUGGCUUCCCAAAGUGCUGGGAUUACGGGCGUGAGCCACCAUGCCCGGCCCAUCAUUUUCAUUUUCAUUAUUCAGCCCACCACAUUUUUGUUUGCUCACAGACUUGAUUUUUUUUUAAUCAAGCAAAACCUAAUGCAUUGAUUACUACAUAAAGGGAGACUACACCCUUGACAGAGUCUUAGUGCCAUCUCCCAGAUCGGUUUUUAUUGACAAUAUUUCAGGGUUUCUCCCUCUCAAGAAUGGAAAAGAUAGUAUCCUAAGCCAUCUCCACAUUAUGAAGCAGGAUGGAUUUAUUUUAGAAAGGUUUCCAGUACAGACAUUGUGAUUCAUACUUGUAAUCCCAGUGCUUUGGAAGGCUGAGGCAGGAGGACCACUUAAGGCCAGGGGUUUGAGACCAGCCUGGGCAACACAGCAAGACCUCAUCUGUCCAAAAUAUUUUUAAAAGUCAUGUGCCUAUAGUCCUAACUACUUGGGAGGCUGAGGUGAGAGGAUCGCCUGAGCCCAGGAAUUCAAGCCUGGAGUGAGCUAUGAUCACACCACUGUACUCCAGCCUGGGCAACAAAGCGAGACCCUGUCUCUAAAGAAAAAAAAAAGUUUCUAAUGGUAUUCAUAGUGUUUGGCUUAAGGCUUACAUUUGAUCAGAGUUUGGCACAUUUUUUCCCUAUCUUGAAAGUUGUUUUGCAUCUUAGUUGUGGGCUAAAAGUUCUCUAUUUGCUGACAAUAGCAACAUACCAACUUGUUUAGUGUCAUUCCUCCAAAUGCCACUUGUUAUAAAUCACCUCAUAUUUAUACUUUCCUUUUAAAAAUGAACAAAAUGGCUGGGCACAGUGGUUUACGCCUAUAAUCCCAGUACUUUGGGAGGCCAAGGUGGGCGAAUCUCCUGAGGUCAGGAGUUCGAGACUAGCCUGGGCAACAUGGCGAAACCCCAUCUCUACUAAAAAUACAAAAAAAUUAGCCAGGCAUGGUGGCGC